GAUGAACGCUGGCGGCGUGCCUAAUACAUGCAAGUCGAGCGAAUGGAUUAAGAGCUUGCUCUUAUGAAGUUAGCGGCGGACGGGUGAGUAACACGUGGGUAACCUGCCCAUAAGACUGGGAUAACUCCGGGAAACCGGGGCGAAUACAGGAUACAUUUUGAACAGCAUGGUUCGAAAUUGAAAGGCGGCUUCGGCUGUCACUUAUGGAUGGACCCGCGCCGCAUUAGCUAGUUGGUGAGGUAACGGCUCACCAAGGCAACGAUGCGUAGCCGACCUGAGAGGGUGAUCGGCCACACUGGGACUGAGACACGGCCCAGACUCCUACGGGAGGCAGCAGUAGGGAAUCUUCCGCAAUGGACGAAAGUCUGACGGAGCAACGCCGCGUGAGUGAUGAAGGCUUUCGGGUCGUAAAACUCUGUUGUUAGGGAAGAACAAGUGCUAGUUGAAUAAGCUGGCACCUUGACGGUACCUAACCAGAAAGCCACGGCUAACUACGUGCCAGCCGCCGCAGUAA
Molecule: ribosomal RNA, 514 nt
Filed under: uncultured bacterium
Lineage: Bacteria
Description: partial 16S ribosomal RNA
Rfam family: Bacterial small subunit ribosomal RNA
Source: RNAcentral